This is a transfer RNA of Volvox carteri f. nagariensis, 72 nucleotides long. It matches the Rfam family "tRNA". Rfam says of the family: Transfer RNA (tRNA) molecules are approximately 80 nucleotides in length. Their secondary structure includes four short double-helical elements and three loops (D, anti-codon, and T loops). Lineage: Eukaryota; Viridiplantae; Chlorophyta; Chlorophyceae; Chlamydomonadales; Volvocaceae. The record is from Rfam.
GGGGCUUUAGUUCAAUGGUAGAGCGCGCGCUUCGCAUGUGUGAGGUCACCGGAUCAAUCCCGGUAAGCUCCA